GGUAAGCAUGUGGGACCGGCUUGGGGAGGCUCAGGGGGGCUGGCCCAUGAGCUCCAGCCAUCUCAAAGGGCCAGUUCUUACAUAGCCUCCCUCAACAAGGGGAAACAAGAGCAACCAGGCUUGCCAUGGGGUUUGCUGUGCAGCAGGCAGUCGACCGUGGAUGCAUUCUCUGUUCUCUAGUAAAGAGGGGUGUACUCACCCCAGUAACGCACCCAGUCUUCAGCACAAUCAACUCAUGGGGUGGGGAGGGAGCACCCCAGCAAAUGUGCCCACUGACCCAGGGCCCUGGGUGUGCUGACCAAACCCUCAGCAGACACCCCCUGUUCGGGUCUCCCUGACCCUCCAGCGGCAUUCAGCACCCCCAAGUGUUUGCUGGCCUCCAGCUCUGGAUGGUACUCUGGGCUCGUGCCUGCUGGGGCCGACGUCACCUUCAAGGCCAAGAGGCCAUGUCUCCCCAUAGCACCUCCUUCCUUAAGUUAUUUCAGUUUUCUGGACAUGGGAUGCAGUGGCGAAAUGACUGUCCCCAAGGGUAAAAUUCAUGUUUAACAUUUCCCAAUGGGUUUCACGUCCUUUCCCUGUACAAAAGGGAGCCAGUUAGAAACGGUCCUUCCUUAGGGAAGAGCCAGUGUGUGCCUGGGUUUCUGUGUGCGCUCUGUGUGAGGGCUGGGGUUCUCGUUGUCCUGCUGGGACUGACCAGUCAGCCAGUACUCAGGUUUGAAAACUGUUCAGAUGGUGCGUUUUUAUUGUGGCUAUGGUUUUAAUUUAGACGUGCUUCUAAAGAGAUGCAUCAUAAGAAAAUAAAUGAAAGCUUAACUCAGUGAGUCCCCAGGGACUGGCCGUCGCGGGCACCCUCACGGUAUUGAGGGUCAAUGUGGACGCUGCCAGGUGACAUGCUGCUCGCUGGAGAGGACCUGGGGAGCCCGGGCAUUCGCCUCCAGGAGCUGGUGGCCUUCUCAUCGCAGGGUAUGAACUGUCUUCAUUUACGUGCAGUCACACCCGUCUGUCUCAAUCAAGCCUCUUAUAACAAGGCUCCACCCUCCACAAUCUGAUGAGUAAUCUGUGUCUACACCUUCCGAACUGGUUCUCAGUGCUUCUUCUUGCUUAAAAGCUUAGUGUUCUCCUUAUUCUGAGCAAGUCGGGUCCUGUUUCCCGCUGGACUUCCCGAGUAGCCAGGGUGGGGGGGGGGGGGCAGUCUGAUCACCCAGCCGCCUAUGGGGCACUGCUUGGGGCACCCAGGCCUGGCUGAAACCAUCCAUGGUCACUCCUUCAGAGGAGGCAGCCCAGACUCGAGAAAGUCAGGACAGGAGAGCUAUGAGCACUGAGACACUUGGGCAGCUUGGCUUGAAAGAGGGAAAUGUCACCUGGAAAAGGCUCAGCCCUGACCCUGAACACAGAUGGCCUGGAGGCCUUGGGUUCCUCUGAGCUGGCCCGUCCUGGCUGGCAGCGUGACCACUGUCCCUGUGAAAUCAGACCCUCCACUUCUCGGCCUCAUUUACUAAGGGCCAACAGGACACUCUCUGAAACAGCCCGUGUGACUUGUAUCAGUGCAUCUGGCUAAAGAUUCGGUGUGGGGUGGGUGCCAGCCCAGGACCCGCAUUCCUCUAACCAGUCAACCAGCGGCUGAUGUUCAGAAAAUAAAGUGGAAAGUAAACUCUCCAUCCUUGUCCUUUUGUAAAAGCUCUUGGUUGGGCGGCAGCUUCCUGUCCAAAAAUCCCUGAGGCAGAGGAGCUAAUUAAAGUUUGACCCCAUGGGACAGGGUGACAGGAGAGGAGGGCUGGCCUGGUGACCAGGCUGGACAAAAGCAUACUCAACAUUCAUCCCGGCACUGACCCCUGCCCUUCCUGACCUGUCCACACCACCUGCCCGGUGGGCGGAGGGGCGACCUUGUGAGGGGGUGGGGGGCGCUGCUGGGUGAGGCACAGGUUGUAGAAAGGUCACCAGGAGUCCUUCACCCGUUAAUUCCUCAACCCUCACUUUUUGGGUGGUGGCCCUUGUCUCCACAGACCCCGCCCCCGACUCAAAGAGGGGAUGGGGACGCGGCUGUCACCGCAUCUAGAGACGGGGGGCGUGGGGUCAGCUCUCAGGAUGUGGGAGGACGGUGAGGCCUGGGCCCCGGCAGGCGGGGGAGCCCCGAAGCAGGCUCCCCGUGUGUAACCGGCGCCCCGAAAGCCGCCCCCACGACUGCGCUUGGAAGCCCAGCUCGGAACUCGAGCUCGGCGAGGGAAAGAGGCCACGCCGGCCGCUGGGCUCCCGCUCGGCCGCGGAAGGUCAGCUUCCUGCAGGUUGAGCUUCCGCUUCAAGCCCGAGACCGCGUUUUCUUUCUGAGCGAAACCUCCGGCGACCGGAGGCUCCGGGUGAAGAGCCCGGCGGCCGCGCCAGCCUUGCCGGAGGAGCAGCGAACACCCCGGGCGAGUCCGCGCACCUGUCCGCUCCCGGCCCUGCUCCCGCUCGACCGCGCGCUGCGCACCAGACUCGGCCCGAGGAGCUCCGGCCACAGACGUGCUUCAGAGAAACUCGGAUCCUGACCCUACGAUGUCCACUCUGCCUGCGUAGUGUCUGCCUCCUGUUUGGAUCGGAACCAUGGCGUCCAGGGCAAAGGCGCAAUGGGAUAAAGCCCCAGACCCCAGCGUCUGGUGAGGAGGAGCCUGGCACGUGGCCAGGAUCAUCUCUGUGGUGUGAGCACUGAACACAGAUGUUGGCUCCUGACGACUCCUGGGCACCCCUGCCCCCGGCCCCCAGAACAGAAUCCAGGCCAUUCCAGGUCCUUUCGGGGCUGAAGUUCAUCCAGAGAAAACCAAUUCCCUUCUUGACUUAGGUCUUCCUCUUUCUGAACGUCAACACUCUCUCCAGUUGUAUUCAUGUUUUGGGUAGAAGCUAAUCUCUUAGCUAAUGAGAAAACAUGAGGAUGGAAGACCAUGUACACCACCAUGAAUAUGCAAUCUGCAAAGUCCAGCCUGUGAGAAACUCUGGGAGACAAAUGACCCAGAUUCUGAGGAAAAAAAACUCGCAGGAGACCAGAAGGGGAGGGUAAUGAGCAGCAUAAAGAGGCACAGGAACGAGUUGCUGCCUGGGCUUCAGUGAUCUCGGGUUGGCUGCUGUUUCAAAAGGGAAUUUUCACUUCCGGGAAUGUGCUUGAUGUACUUUUCCUAUUCUUCUAGCCAAGUAAAACUUAAAUCCUGGAAAUCAGAUAAAAAAUAAAUGUACUUUACUCCAAAAAAAAAGCAAUAGCUGUAAAUGCUGGAUAGAAGUCCAGGCAGGCCCUGGCCUGUGGUCCUGGGGAGGGCAGGUGACAGCCUGGCUGAGGGUGGGUCAAUGUGAAGUGUUCUGGUGGCUCAGCUGGGGCCUGGCCUGGGGUGAUGAGGGCAGCGGGGAGGUGAGGGCAGGGGGCACUGGCCGGGCAAGUGACAGCCUGAGGGAGGAGGUUGCAGGAGUGGGAGAGGGUUUGGGGUUGGUGAGUGGCUCAUGAAAAGUGCACAUCACAGAAGAGUUGUCUGCUGUCUCUAGGAAUUCCCCAGCCCUGGGAGGGGCCAUCUCCCCAGAAUUAGGGAGGCCACAGGCACCAAAACAUCAGAAGGAAAAGGUGGGCUUAAUACAGGGCCACUGAAAAAUCUCAGAACAUUAAAAUAAUUGAAACGGUAGUGUGUUCUCUGAUUAUAGUGGAAUCAAAGUGUAAAUCAACAAUUAUUAAUCAAUAAAAAAUGGAAAGAAAGAAAAGAGAAAAAUCUCUAAACACUUGGAAACUAAAACACCCUUCUAAAUAAACCAUGGGUUGAUACAGUGUAUUGAAUGAAAAUUAAAAAUUGAUUGUAUCAAAAUUUUGGGGAUACAGUACAAGUAUGUUGAGAGGAGAUUAAUGCAAACAGGAGUGAAGAAGGAAAGACUCAACCAUCUAUGAUCCCAUUUCAAUAAAUGGAAAAGUGAAAAAUAAGCCCAAGGAAAAUGAAAGAAAAUAAUAAAGGAAAGAGCAGAAAUCAAUUAAACUGAAACAGAAGAAGAAUAGAGCAAAUCGAAGAAACAAAGAGCCAGAAAUAUCAAUAGAAUUGAUGAACUUCUAGCAAGACUGACAAAGGGGGAAAGAGAGAGAAGAUAAAUUACCAGUAACAGGCAUCAAGAGGGCAUGUCACUAUAGGCCAUAAGGACAUGAAAAGGAUAACAAGGAGUACUGUAAACAAUUCUAUACUUAUAGACUUGCAAGUUAGAUGAACUGGGUCAUUCUCUCAAAAACCACUCACCAAAUAUGAAAUAGAUUAUAUGAAGAUCCUUUUAACUAUUAAGGAUUUUGAAUGUGUAAUCUUAAUUACAUUUCUUGAGAGUUUCUUAAAACUCUCAAGAAAUGUCCAGACCCAGAUAGUCUCACUGGGAAAUUCCACCAAACGUUUAAAGAAGGAUCACACCUGUUCUGCAUGACCUCUUCCCGAAGACAGAAGAGGCGAGAACAUUCUCAGUUCGUUUUGUAUUGCUGGUGUUACCCGGACACCAAACCAGACAAUGACAGCAAAAAAAAAAAAAAAAAAAAGGGUGUGGGGAGCUACAGACCAGUAUCCCCCACAAAUGUUGAUGUAAAAAGGCUUAAUAAAAUAUUAGCAAAUGAAUUGUUCAUUGACUAUAUAAAGAGGAUCACACACCGUGACCAAAGAGGUUCAUUUCAAGGAUGCAAGGUUGUUUCUGUAUGAAGAUAAGGUAAUCCAUCAUGUUAAUGGGCUAAAGAAAAAGUCACACAAUCAUAUCAUGCAGUGCAAAAGUUUUUUCCACAAAAUUCCACACCUAUUCAUGAUACAAACUCUCAGAAAAAUAGGAAUAGAGGAGAAUUCUCUCAACUUGAUAGCAAGCAUCAACAAAAACCCAACAGUUAACAUCAUACUUAGUGGUGAAAGAAUGAACCUUACCCCUUAAGAUCAGGAGCAAGAAUUUCUGCUUUUACCAUUCCUAUUCAACACAGUGCCUGAGGUUCUAGCCAGGGCUAUAUGGCAAGAAAAAUUAAUAUAAGAUACACAAACCAUAAUG
Long non-coding RNA from Bubalus bubalis (water buffalo), 5004 nucleotides. RefSeq lists it as uncharacterized. The record is from RefSeq and is a predicted model, not a curated record. The transcript is spliced from 3 exons. NCBI's taxonomy places the organism in Eukaryota, Metazoa, Chordata, Mammalia, Artiodactyla, Bovidae.